RNAcentral lists this long non-coding RNA (22393 nucleotides) under Sorghum bicolor (sorghum). Its description in RNAcentral is "long non-coding RNA (SBIC_LNC000366)". Lineage: Eukaryota; Viridiplantae; Streptophyta; Magnoliopsida; Poales; Poaceae. The record is from RNAcentral.
GGUGGCUUUGUGAGUGAAGAAAGAAAGAAGAUGCUGGACAAGCUGUGGGACGACGUGGUGGCGGGGCCUCACCCGGAGACGGGCCUCGAGAAGCUCCGCAAGGCCGCCACUGCCCGCCCCAUCCUCAUCGACAAAGGUACUCUACUGUCGUCCUACUCAUCGUCAUCGUCCAACCUAUAAUUAUAGAAAUGAAUGAAUCCCUCAUUGUUUACGUCGUUCGGGAACAAGCAUACUGCAUGCUCUAGCAGUAAAAUCCUACACAAGUUAAUUACCCGCUAAUAAUUUGCCCGCGCUGCAAGGUUCGUUUCACUGACUGAUAUAACGUACUGACCACCGUUUUAUUUUUCUUUUUUACUAUACUAAUAAAUAAUUAGACGCGGAUGCCGGAGCCGCGGGGAGCUACAAGCGGACGCAGUCGAUGCCGUCGACCCCGACGACGCCGGUGACGCCGUCGUCGUCGUCGACGACGACGACGCCGCGGGGCGCCAGCAACGUGUGGCGCAGCGUGUUCCACCCGGGGAGCAACCUGGCCACCAAGGGCAUGGGUGCCAACCUCUUCGACCGCCCGCAGCCAAACUCCCCCACCGUCUACGACUGGUAAGUACUAGUAGCAAUAAGCAGAAGCAUGCAUGCAUCAUCUCGCUGCCCCGUCGGUGGCUAUGAAUCACUUGGUUAAUUGCAGAUACACCUACAACGUCGGUGUGGCUAGCCACGUGAUCUGCUCAUUCAACAGCAGAUCCAGCAUCUAACUAAUAAUUAUGAGCCCGUAACUUAAACUAUUUUUCGAUGAUUUAUUAUGCCGAUAAAAAUAUUGCUAAAUAGCUGACGGAUUCGACAUAUAAGUCCAAACAAAUAGACUCUAUAAGCACAAACUUGGGCUGCUGUGCUGCUGCUCUCCCACUCUUCCUCUCAUGAGCCCUGUUUAGCUAAAUGAAUGGUUGAUCUUAAUUAGUUUCUGUUACAAGCACCCAGAAAGUUCCAUAAUCAAGACGAUACAUGUGCACUGGUGAAGUCAGCACACACACAAUAUUAAAAAAAUAAUAAUAAGCAAAAGCAAUAUGAGAUCCACUUAGCCAAUAACCAUGAUUCGCUCACGUGGCAUGCCAAUCCAGAAGCACGACCGAGAAGAGUGAGACAGUGACAGAGACUGCUAUACUUCACUGUUUGAGUGUUUACUUUGUUGGAACGGAUAAGGCCUAAAGGACAAGCACGCUGGUGGCCAGAUUUAUUUUAGUUAAUAAUAUUAAUAUACUCCGUAUGUAUAGUUUCACUAAUAUAGUACGCAAAAAUAAUUAAGCUGUGAAAACGAUCUAGUUAAACAAUGGUGUCAUUUGGACUUUAGCAAACAAAAUAUCGUGACACGGAAUGUUGUCAAUAUUUGAUUUCAGGCUCUACAGCGACGAGACCAGGAGCAACCACCGUUAGAUCGAUCGGAUGAGGCCGAGGAUGAUGAAGGGCCCGGCGUCUCUGUCAGGCCAUCAUGUUUGCUGGUCCUUGUGGUUAUCUAAAACGCAUGCAUGCUCUAUUAUUAUAGUACUUCUGCAGUUCUGCUGUCGCUGUUGCUGAUAAAGACUUUGCCGUUUAAUUGUCCUUUAUUAUGUGUUAUUAUGGAGUGAUGAGUGAUAUGCAGUCGCUCCUAGUAGUGAGUAGUGAGUAGUGAGUAUUUACUUGGUAUAGUACUUGGUCUGGUCAGUUCCUCUGACUCGGCUUGGCCAUUCAAGGGGAGCCCUGUUGUUGCUGCUGUUGUGUGUGUGGUGUGUACUGGCUGUUCUCCAUCAUCUUGUAAAUAUUUUGCUUUGGCCAGGGCGUGUACUAGUAACUGUGCCUGUUUCUUCCAUUUUAAUUUACAAGUCUUGAUGUGUAAUAAUCACCGGCGCAGCGGCGCUGAGGACAUGUAUUACAACAAAAUUACUCUGCAUGGACCCAGACAAGGAUUUGUUCUCUCGCUGGUUAAGCCUAAACAUACACACACCAUACAAACAGACAGUGGUAUUGUAUCGAUCUAUGUAGGGCCUGUUUGGAACGCAAGAAUGAAAAAUACAUGAAUAGAAGAAAACACAGAUACGGAGAUUGAAAAACAGAGCAUUGAAAAAUACAAGAAUAAAUAAGAGGUGACGUCAGGAAUCCAAAACAUAGGAAUUGGUACAGGAACAAUAAAAGAAAAAUAGCACUUUCAUUAACUAAUAAAAAAUGAUCACAUGCGAUAUUUGAGCUCUACAACUCUCUUUCUGGUCUAGGGUCUAGGGUUCGUGGACGAAGUCUAUGAAGAAUUCACCGCUUUUUUAUCAUUUCUUUUAGUUUUUAUCCAGUUAUCCUCGUCUCAUUGCUCUCUAUGGGUGUGUUUGGUUUGUUUCCUAUAUGAGCCUGGCCAGUAAAACUAAGCCAGGCUACCUCAAGCCUGCCCUUAGUAAGCCAAGACCUGCUUGUUUGGUUGCAUGCGCUGCUGAGCCUGACUAGGAUGAAUUCGUGUUUGAUUGGUUGAUUUGGUUUGUAUACAGUUACCUCUUCCUUGGGCCGGUGAGUUUACCUCCUUUGAGACAUUUUCUCAAACACCUGGCAUACACACGCAUUGAUCUUCCUCCUCCCAUCAUGCCCAGCUGCAGCCGCAAAAGUUGUACUACGAAUCAGCAAACUACCAAGGAAGAGGGGACCGAGAUUGCAGUCAUCGCGGCGAGAAUGGCCUCACCUGCGCAGCGGAGAGCCUGGGCACCGGGUGGAGCCUGGUGGCCCACAUGACAGGUCCAUAUGAGGAAGAUGAGCAGGGAGCCGAACGUGAGCAGAAAGACGGUGAUGGUGUACGGCAGCGCGCGCGUGUGUCGAGAAGCCUCUGCGGCGGCGUCCUGCAUGGUGCAGCAACGCCCAUGCCAUGGGCGAGCGCGCGCGUGACGACCCAGGGCCAGGAGUGGUGCGCGCGAAUGGCCAAGGCCAAAGGAGGUCCGCGCUGCGGCCAAGUCCGGGUGCUCCCGCUCCCACGUCGUCGUCCUGUGGCGAGAAGAGAGGGAGCGUGGUCGGCGUCGUGGCGCUGAUCAUUGGGACCAGCAUCAGGUCCGGCAUCCUCACCGUGGGAGGAGCCCAUGGCGCUGGAGAAGUCGUGCCUCUGCCUCUGCGGGCGGUGAACGCGGAUCUAGACAGUCGUCGCUUCGAGGUCGACGACGGCAGCGCCACCGGGUCGAUGGCGCCGCACGUCGCCAGCUCCGACGACAGCCUCACCACCUCCUAGUCCCCCUCCCUGGCGUCUGCAGCCUCCUCACUGCCGCCGCCGCUGCCGCCGGAGACGGAGCCCGUUCCGGGCAGCUGGUCCGAUGCGGUCGGGUCCGCAUUGGCGGCCGACUUUGGCUUGCGGCUGCACGCCGAGCACAUGGACGACGUUAGCGCGACGGUGGCGGCCACACCACGAAGAAGGACAACGCGACGAAGAGCGGUGACGAGAACGGCCUGGCGGCUGGCUAGAGCCUGGCUCAGUUGGGAAGCCCGAUUUGGGCUUUCAAAGCUGGUCAGGCUAUCUCUGUAUGGUUGGUCCAAGUUGGCCAUGCCCCAAGCCUUCUUCAACCAAACACCCAUUUUCUAGCCCAAAUGAGCCCUGGCCACAUGUGGAUUGCAACCAAACACACUCAAUGUCUUGCAUCUCGCUCAUUUUUUGCUGGAUCAGUAUGAGAAAGGAUUGAAGCAACGCAAUGAGCGGAGUGAGAUGGUGGUUGCGUGCUUGCGAGCAGCCAUCAAGCUCAGCCGUCGAUUCAGAGACCUCCGUUGACAGUCAAUGGAGGAAAGCGAGAUGGGGGCGGGCUAUUCAUGGCGACGUACACCGGUGAUGACGAGACAAAAAUAUAGAUUUUCUGGUUCUAUCUCCUCCCUAAUCGGAUUUUAAUCGCCCAAUAUUUUCUCGUCUACCUCUUUGCCUCGGGCUUCCACCAAACCUUGAGCUCGAACUGUAUUUUUUAUUUCCUACGUUUUAUGGAGACGAAGAAUCCUUUCCAGAGGAAAGGCUAAGAGUGUUCUUUUUGUUCCAAACGGUGACUGACGUAAGCAAACCAUAGGAAUCAGUUUCCUUUCAAAUUCAUGUGAUCCAAACAGGGCCGUAAUAUGUGCGGCAGCAGGGGAAUGCGAGAUUUAUCAGAUCACAACAUAAUGCACCGUGAUGGGUAACGGAGCCCAAGUUUGGCUCUGCCGCUAGUAAUAAUUAUCCGUUGUUUAGUUCCAAAAAAUUUUAGAAAAUAGAAACUGUAGCACUUUCGUUUGUAUUUGACAAAUAUUGUCCAAUCAUAGACUAACUAGACUUAAAAGAUUCGUCUCGUCAAUUUCGACCAAACUAUGCAAUUAGUUUUUAUUUUUGUCUAUGUUUAAUACUUUAUGCAUACGUCUAAAGGUUCGAUGUGACGGAGAAUUUGAAAAAUUUUGCAAUUUUUUUUGAAACUAAACAAAGCCCUAACUAAUCACUGAAAAAUGAUUGCCACGUCGUCGUCACUCGUCAGGUUGCCGUGUUGGGCUUGCUGACCGUGACUUUGCCAUUUGUAAUCGCACUCGGGCACCCGUGAAGAUUCGAUCGGAUCGGCAAGCUUGUUCAUUUUCUGUCGAAUCUACAAGCUAUUUAACAGUAUUUUUUUUAAUUAUUUAAUAAUAUUUUUCUCUCACAAUAAAUCAGCAAAUAGUAUUUUCAAUCAUAAUUUAUUAACCAAGCAAAUAGACAUGCUAUCUGAUCAUAUCUCGUUAGGGGAGUCGGCUAGCCAGUGGAUACUUUCAUGAAUACUUGUGGGGUAGUUUUUCAAUUAUUACCCGUGGGGUAGUGCCAUUAAGCUUUCCAUAGUGGUGAGUCGAUUUUUUAUGAAGAGAGAUCAUGUAAGCUGCAGUAGUGAGUCGAUUUCAAAGAUCUACAAUGGUGAGUCGACUUUUUCUGUGGGCUAAGCAAAUAAAAGAUUAUUUUGUUCUCUUGAAUAAGACACUUGCACAAGCGAACUGGUACUUCCUAUCCGGUAAAGUUUUCUUUGCCCUCGAAGACAUAUGCCCUCACUUUUCUACCUAUUGGAUUCGCUUUGAGAAGUGUGCAAACACACAUCUCAACACGAAACUGUUUUGAGAUAUGUAUUUGCACAUUUCUCAAAGCGAAUCCAAUAGGUGGGAGAGUGAGGGCAUAUGACUUUAAGAGUAAAAAAACUGUGUCUCCUAUCCAUUCUCUUCUCAUCUUCUUUCGUAUGAGUAUUAUUUUAAUCGGUAUGAAUUGAUUCAUAUUUUCUGAUCGGUUCCUAACAUACUCUAUGCAUCGAUUUGCUAAAGGGGUCGCUCCAUUACUCGUGCCAAUUAAAAUAUUCUCAUGAGUCACUUUAAAAGCACCACUGGAAAAGCCCUUAGUACUAGUCAAUUGACUAUUGCUUAUCGUGCCAUUUGUUUCGAGGACCUUCUUUGCAUGUUACAUAAUGCGGAGGUAAAAAUGGAUUUUAACAAUGCCUAGAAUGCUAAGGUGAAAAUAGAUUUUAAGGGAACUCAUCAUAUUGUGCAUCUAGGUGAAACUAAGGUCUUGUUUAGCCAAACACUUCUAGAUAGCUUCAAGCGAAAAGAAGUUGUCCAAGGGUGCCAAACACAAUGAUUCUUCGAAGACUUAUUUUGCCCGUGAUUGUUUUCCUCGCAUCGUUUCAACAUCAACGCAUAAUCGCCUUGAGCCCUGUGUGUUGCUUCCACUUGCUAAAGCCCCACGUCCGCAUCCCCUUGCUCGACACUGCUUCUGGAUGCUUGGCCCUGCCUCCGUCUCCCUCUCCCCUCCCUACCACUAGAGCCAAAGCAGCCGAGCUCGACAAUGGUUGGUGCCUAGGUGAUGCCCGUGAGAUGGGAGCAGCGGUGGCUAUGGAUCUACCUCAUCCUUUGACAAUGAUGGGGCAAGUGAUGACCACGAGACAGGGCAGCAACGGAUCUCGUGAGAAGGCACUACGAUGGCGACGACAUAUGGGCAUGGACGACAUCUUCCUCGCCAAGCUCCUCCUCUUCCUUGGCAUCCUCGUCGGGGCUUGAACAUUUGUGUUCUUCCUCCCCUAGAAUAUGUCAUACCAAGCGCUAAGCUUUUUCUUCGCAUGAUUCUUGACUACUCGCAAUGUGUCCGGUGCUGAAAAAUUAAUGCUUAUGCCAACUAAAUCAAUGCUAAGAAAAUGCCUAAAAACACGACAACAUUGUGCGUCGACGUGCAUGCACCAGAUAGACUUGUGUCAGAUCCACUAUCUUGGUUUUUGGUGCAUGAGAAAGCAUCUAGUACAUGAGCAUCGAAGCAAGAACAUGCCUCGGUGUCACCUUUUUUUUUUAACUCAACAUCGACCACAAUGGUAUGACUCAAUGCUGAAAUAGGAGAAAGAGAGUUUCAAUAUCGAUUUUUUGCAACGCUGUGGAUAGUCUUAUAGAAGUUUGUUGUUCAAGUUGUCCAGCUUGGGGUUUAAGGGAGGGCUAGAAAAGUUGUUCCAAACAGGGGCUACGAUAUAUGAGAUUUGGAAUAGCGUUUUAAGUGAAAAUGGAUAAAAGUUGAUAUUAUCAAGUAUGUGGCUUCAUGUGAUAUUUGUCAGAAAGUGACGGUUAAGCAUCAGAAACCUGCUAGGUUUCCAAAAUCAUUGAAGAUUCUUAAGUGCAAAUGGAGUAAAGAAUAAUAUAAAGAAUCGUGUGAUUGGAUGUCCUCGCUCUCCGGAAGGAUGCUAUCGAAUAUUAUCCGACCUACAGUGGUGAAGCUGCGCCCGGUAACAGGUAACUUAAGUUGAAGAAAGAAAAGAACGGAUGAUAAAAGGUCUAGAGCGGUAUUGGAUCUAACAACUUAGGUUAUAUUUGGUUGAGCUUCUAAAAUUGCUUCUACUUUUUUAGAAGCAGCUAAUUUCGUGUAAUACAGUUUUAGAAACACUUUGGAUCCUGCUUAUGGCUUUCUGUUUUUCAAAACGUAUAAAAAUAGAAAGCCGUUUCACAAUUAUUUGAAGAAAAACAGAGAGAAUAUGUUAUAUACUUAUUUUAGCCAAAUAAUUUACACCCACAAACUAACUAUAGCUCAUAAUAACUUUUUUUCAUAGCCCGUAACAGAUUUUCCACGAAUCAUAAAUCAAUGAGUGUGUUUACUGUUUAGUUUUCCAUAAAAUACAAGAUACAAAAUAUUAAGUAAUACUUUGGAUGAUAAAAUAUAAAAUGUCAUAUAAAAUGGAUGGAUCAAAAUCCAGAUUUUUUUAGACGAAAGAGGAACUAUAAACAACUUCUAAACCCCUGAUCAACGUACAACACCCCACAUCUCAGCUCUCACUCUGCCCAGUCAACGGCAGUUCAGUUUUCCUUCACUCCGUCCCGCGGCAUGCUUCUCCUCAGCCCCUCGCCGCCGGCUCCCGCCGCCGCGGUAACCGCCCCCCGUCGUAUCCUACUUGCUCCCCACAGGCGCCUCAAUGCUACGUCCACCCCACCGCGCCUCGCCUGCCUCCGCCUUCGCCCCGCCACCCCGCUCCGCGCCCGCGGCAUUCCGUCGAGGACCGGGUGCCGCGCGGCCGCCGAUGCCGAUGCAGCGCCCUCCCAGGCUCCAGGCGGCGAUGGAGGCGUGCGGGGCGCGGUGGUGCGCGUCGGGGAGGCUCUGUCGCUGGGGUUCCCGGUGUGGGUGGCGUCGGCCUGCGCGCUGGCUCUCUGGCGGCCGCCGGCCUUCCUCUGGGUCGGACCCACCGCGCAGAUGCUCGGCCUCUCCUUCACAAUGCUCGGUCGGCGCCUUCCUUCCCUUCCGUAGUUCCGUUCCCACGCUAGUUGCUAGUACUUGUUCUUCCCCUCAUGGUGCAAAUUUUUUUGGGAACUAAACAAGGCCCAAGUGGACUCAAAACUCUACUUCCCCUGUGGGGUUAUUAGCUCUGUUGAUGUCCUCUAUAAGUCUAUAUGAUAUUAGAACAGCUGCUAGCAAUGAGAUCACUGAAUAAAUGCACAAGCUGAUACCAAGGAAAGAUAUCCCAAAAUGAUAAAGGACAGGCAAGUGAUUAGGAGAAAAGAAGAUGAAGAUUUGAAAAAAGAACCGUACAAUUUCAGUACUCUAGCACAAUCCGGCAUCUUUUGCAUAUUCUCACAAUCUCACUUUGAUACGAGUUUUUGGCUUUUUCUACGUAAGAUGUUCUCUUUACUGUGCCAUUAUGGUGGAGGCAGCAGGACCAAAUUCUCGAGCACUCUUCAGUUCAUGGAUUAAACCAAAUUGCCGUAGCUACGAUUAAUAUAACCUUGUACUCACGUCUGGUGUCACUUUACAUGUGCAACCUGAGGAGUGUUUACUUUCUUGUGUCUGGACCUGGACGUGUUAUUCAGCCCUGGUUUCAUUUGGGAACCAUUGUAUUUAUAGUGGGGUAAUUGGUAUAUGAUUUAUACCUACAGGGAUGGGAAUGACAUUGACUUUGGAUGACCUCAAAACCGCAUUAUUGAUGCCGAGGGAGUUAGCUGCUGGAUUUAUACUGCAAUACACGGUCAGUUCCUCCCUUUUUGGUUCUUCAUAUGUCUGAAUCCUUGUAAUCAUAUUCUGUGAGUUCAAAAUACACAUACAUUUACACUAUUGAUGCAUAACGUUAGUGUAUUUGGUAGUUAGGAUUAGAGUUUUCCUUGUCACAGACUCCAUUAAGAUUUAAGAGGAGGUCCACAUGACUACAUGAGUUGGUGACUUGGUAUAGUGAAGAUGGAAUCCUGAUCAUUGAGGCUAGCAGAUUAGAAAAGAGGGAAUCAAAUGAAGUUGUCAGAUAGUACAGUCAUGCUACGUUUGAUGAUUUAAGGAAGCAAGAAAGCAAUAAAUCUACCCCCCCCCCCCCAACCCACACACUCUAGAGUUUGUACGCUUAUUGUCACGGCCCUUCACUAGUGGCCUAUUUGGAUUGAGCCACCAGGUGAUCCAUCGAACCAUCCAAUCCUAAAUCUGAGCCUAGUAACUUGUUUGGUUUGCAUCCAUGGUUCCUUAUGUCCAUGGACCUGUCCAUUUUAAGCCAACCGGCGAGCCUUUUGUGGGGAUCAACUCAUCCAAAGAAAAACGUCCGAAGAUGUCCUGCAUUGUUGGGUUCCGUGCCAGUCAAUCCAACAAACCAAACACGCUGUAGAGUUUAUCACAUUACCUACCAUGUCGAGGUUCCACGCCUGCCGGUUCAACAAACCUACUCUCUUGGUAGCAAAGGCAUAUCACACCACAACAUCUGGUAUAAGAAACAUGGUUGUUUUCAUUGUUCCCAAUACCGGUUACUGUUAAUAUACAGACAUAUAUUUUCUGUUUUCUCUCUUUCUGGCCCAUGUAGGCCUUAUGGCCCUUUGUAUAUACUUGCAACCCUAGACUCAAUCGAUGGUGUGUGAGGUUAUUCUUCCCUAACAGGAUUCUUUCUAAAAAAAAUUCUUCCCUAACAGGAACAAUUCGCAAAACCUGAAAUAAGUUCCAGUGAAUUGCAUAACAGAGACCAAAAAAGGAAAAAAAAAACUUUCCUUGUAGCAUGAACUAUGCAGAAGUUUCAACAAGUUGGGGCCUGACCCUAGGUUCCACAUAUCACAUCAUGAUUGAGUCAUAAGUGCAUCCUGAAAAAUACUUUUAGGUAGGUAUUUAAACACUAAAAAUAUCAUGAUUACCGUUGUUGUAAGUGGAUGAAAAGCCAUAUAAAUAUUAAACCAUACUGCUUACAUCUUCGUUAUCUAUGAGACUAUUACUACAACUGCAGAGUCGUCCCUUGUAAAAUUUGGCGCAUCUUCUGUUUAUAAGCAUAUUUAAUCGGUGAUGACAUGGAUAUGUAUUUUAUGUUUUUCCCCUCCAUGUGCAAGAAAAAAUCCAGAGUGAGUGAUUUAUGUACAGGUGAUGCCACUGUCAGGAUUUUUUGUGAGCAAGCUGUUGAAAUUGCCAUCCCAUUAUGCUGCUGGACUAAUUUUAGUGGCCUGUUGCCCUGGAGGUGUGUAUGCACUUCCCUUCCUUUUUAUCUAUAGAUUGGCUACUGGCACUUGAACUGAGAAGGAAAAUGUAUCUGCAGGCACAGCGAGCAACAUUGUGACCUAUUUAGCAAGGUAAUGAAAAAAUAAAGUGUCAUGCCAAGAAUAAAUGCCAUCACAAGCCUUGUUAAAACUUAAAACUAUAAUAAUCUGGAAAUGUUGGCAGAAUGAUAUAUUUUAAGUGAUUAACGAAUGUCAAGGUGAUGAAUAUCUUGAAUCUUCAGUGGAUAUAACUGACUAGUAAGGAAAAUUAACUUGAAAUAAGUUAGUGCAUUUGCAUUUAAUUCAAAGUCAAUGGAGGAAAAUAAACAAAAUUUCAGGAAUAGGGAAUUGUAUUGAAAAGUAAAGAGACUUAGAUAAACUAAUAUUCAAAUUGCAGGGCAAAUGUUGCUCUUUCAGUCCUGAUGACAGCAGUAAGCACUUUUGCUGCAGCGGUGAUGUUCUACUCUCACAUCUGUAAUCCUCAACUUAGCUGUUAUCUUUUGCUUUUUAUCCACAUCUUGCUCCCUGAUGCAGUUCAUGACCCCUCUCCUGACAUCCAAACUUGCUGGGCAAUAUGUUGCAGUAGAUCCAAUGGGACUGUUUGUGUCCACAUCUCAGGUGCUGCAAAUUUCUUUUUUUAUUUUCUGUCUUACAUCUAAUUUUUUUGACCCCUGGCUAAUGUUGUUUUUUUUUUUCAGGUUGUCCUCGCACCUGUCCUUUUGGGUGCUCUACUUAAUCAGUAUUGCAAUGGUCUGGUUCACUUAGUGUCCCCGUUGAUGCCCUUCAUUGCUGUAGCGACAGUAGCUGUUCUCUGUGGCAAUGCUAUUGCACAGAACGCUUCAGCAAUCCUAGCAUCUGGGUCGCAAGUGGUUUUAUCUGUUGGUUGCUUGCAUGCAUCUGGCUUUUUCUUCGGCUAUGUUCUUUCAAGAUUACUUGGCAUUGAUAUCUCUUCUGCAAGAACAAUCUCUAUUGAGGUUGGCAUGCAGGUAACUGAAGCAGGCAACUCUUAAUCACUUGGUGUUGGUGAACCAAGUGUCUCCUCAUUUUAGUUGUCAUGUUUCCAAAGACCUACGACACCGACCUCAGUUUAUGCCCUUCCAAUUGUACAAUCGGCUGCCUUAUUUAUAUCUGAACGAUUUUGAUAUUUUUUUUCAGAACUCAGUGCUGGGCCUUGUCCUUGCAACCAAGCAUUUCGGCAACCCUCUCACGGCUGUUCCAUGUGCUGUUUCGAGCAUCUGCCACUCGGUCUACGGUAGCAUUUUGGCUGGGAUCUGGAGGUCUAUGCCCACCAAGGACAAGGGAGAAUGAUGCGAUGAUCAUGUCAACCGUCUGAAUUCUCUGUUCUCUUGAUGUAUGAAGGAUUAUACCCGUGGGAGUAAGCCGUUGAUAGAAUGACGGGUGGUUACACUGUCAGUAGUAGCACUUUGUGUAUGAUCUAUUGCAGCAAAGAGUAAACACGUCAGGGUGGUGUGAGCUAUAAAACACUAGGCUGCUAGUGGUUCAUUUCUUUUCUGGAGAUCUCUUGACGAGGGUUUCGUUGGACUCGGAUAGUGUAGUUGGUGAAUACUGUACAUGAUUGCUAUGGAUAUAUAUACCAUGGCAGCUUGUUUAUCACACAUUGACUUCAACAGCUUGAUAUAAUAAAACAGUAACGCUCAGGUAUAAUCAUCUCAAGGUUAAAUACGACUGACCUUUUGUCAUCAUACAAAGCAACGACAAAAAAAGUAAUUUCUGUUACAUAUCUUUUUUAAAUCAGAUUUCUGUUACAUAUAUAUCUGGGAAGUCGUUCGCAGCACGGAUUGGCUGCGGUCUGAAGAAUAUGAAGGGAUGAAUUCCAAAAGCUGAAACCGGUGAACUUGUGGAAGCAAAAGAACUUAACCACCCGAGGAGAACUCAGCCUUCACCCAACCGAGAAACUCCCCGAGUACUGGCAGUGCAGACCGAAUUUUGGGUUGACAGCGAGGUGAACUGUGGAAGCCAAUCUGACUCUUCUGAAACUACUGGUCGACAGACCUACACACAUUUAUCUCACACCUCACAAGCUAAUUAUACACCAACUGGUCUCCCCCCAAGGUUUUUGUUCCUUCUCAGUUGUAUACAAGAGCCCAAACCUGUCAUUUCAUCAAGGGAUCACGAUGACAAUAUGUACAAACAAAAUACUUCCAUUUGAACUAACUGGCCUUUAUCCAGCAUCUAGUUCGCCACUUUUAUGGCAUACACCAGCUCCUGAAAUGAAAGUAUAACAUUUAGAAGAAAUGUGAACGAGAUUAAUCAGAUAAUCAAAGUGUUUGAUCUCACCAGAACACCGUUAGGAAAUGUGAAUGAGGAGCGCAAGUCUGAAAGGCGUUGCUCCCCUGCUAGCCUUGCUUUGUCGAGACCAGACGGGUUAGUGCUGACAGGAUUGCUGUAAGAAGGCUUCAGCGCAUACAUCUCAACUUCUUCAUCUUUGUGAGAUGUCUGACUGGCAACAAACUACACAAAGACAUCAAUCUGUAAGUUCUGAUUUCUGAUAGUAGACAAUGCACAAGUGUUUCAAUAAGUACUGACCUGACAAAGUUGUUUGAUGGAGAGAGUUGGGCCGCAACACAGAUAUGACUUCUCCAGAUUUGGUGCCGUUUGUCCAUCAAGUGGAAGCAGACAAAGAUGUACAUCACGCUGUCAAAUAAAGUCAGUCACUAAUGCAAUGCAGUGCAACACUGUAAUGAAUAAGGAAACAUAUCAUGAGCAUUUUUGUGUUCACCUCGCCGUCAUUGUCGUCAGAAUUUCGUAAGCACUCAACCAACUUGAUCAUGCGCCCACCCUUGACCAUCCUACCAUUUGAACCACUGAAGCUACUGUGGCGAGUCUGACUGCGAGUGCCAUUCUUUCCCCAUGCUCGUAGAGGAGAUGUGCUAAAAUUUUCCUUGGAUAUUCCUACAUCAUCCUUUUCAUCAGAAGCAACCUCGUCAUUGCAUGCUCCUCGGGCAGGUGAAGAACGUGGCGUUGGCCAUUUUGGCAGUCGUUUCGGCUUUUUCUCUGGGGAACUCUCCUCAGCAGAUGAGGCCUCUUUGCUACAGUUUUCACCGUUUCCAUCCUCUUCAUCUUCAGAACCGGCCAGAGCAACAUCAUCAGAAUUGGCUCUUCCUCGGCCACGGAAAUAGGUAUUCUGCCCAUUAGGCCGAAUGUUACGGCGUGAUCUUCUUACAAAUGCAGCAGCAGUAGCUUUGGCAGUAGACUUCCGCCCAAUAACUUCUGAUUGUUUCCGAAAAGCCUCAGCAAUGGAUGCUUGAAUCUUCACAUGUACAUUAAUCAGGAAAAUGAACUUGAGUUCGAUGUAAAAAUAAAUACAGAGAGAAACAAAAUGGCAGAUUGCAAACAAAUAUGUCAAUCAUUAGUUCGGGUCUUUAUAGGUGUUAAACUUGAAUACAAGGGCAUUUACAUAUGCACGGACAUCAAAACAAUGUUCUUGGGUUCUUGAAGAGAAAGGCUUCUAAAUAUUCAUCUGCACUUUGUAGCCAGUGUAGGAAGUUGGCAGUUUCAUGACUCCACUAUUCAUGUAGUUAACAUAAGUUUCCACUCAUUGGAACAAAGAGCAGGCUUCACAGUUUACAGUUCCAAAUAAGAUAAUGAAGUUCUGCCACUAACAAAGUUAACAUGAAAAAAAUUGUCUAUUUCAUUUUUAUUCCUUUAUGAAGUUCUCUUUAUUUUCGAAGAAAUUUAUGAAGUUCUCUGUCAUUAACUUAUUCUUAUCCUUCUGCAAGAAGUGUAGUUGGACCAAACAACCAGCUCAAUGCUACGAUAUCAACUUAGUCCAAGUGAUUCCAGGGCACCUGUCUAUGCUUGGACACAUUAAAACAUUUUCUUUUGAAAGGAGCAAAAAAGGGGUAACAGAGUUGACCAAAUUUGAUUCUUUAUAAAUGAAAUUUAGCUGGGAUUUUUCGACUACCCAUCCAGAAAAUGCUAAUGUAGGGAUGAUCCACAUGGGACAAAAUUCUACGAGAAGUAGCAGGGAAUCAUACCACACCAUUUUUGUAACACGCAGGUUUAGAGACCUAAGUCAUAACUGAUGGGGGAAUAUUUGAUGCGAAACAUCACAACAGAUUCACAUGAAAGUGGAUAUAAAACUGGUAUCAGCAAAACAGAAAUAGAAAAGAACCUGCUUAUUGCGGUCAUUCUCCUCUUCGUUGAACGCUAGCUCCUGGACAUGGGACAAUGCAUAAACAUUUACUAGGAUCAAUGUCUUAAUAUGAAUAAACAAAUAUCAAGUACAAUACCUCUUCUUCAUAUUUGUCAAUAUCUGGGUAUAGAGCUGCAAUCAAGGCAUCAUAGUUCGGAUCAUCUCUCAAAGAACGCCGACUGGCACAAUGUGUGCGGCAUGCUGGGCACUCAUUGUUCCUAUAUAGCAAAGGGAUAUGUAAGUAACAAUACUGUGCUACUCAACAUGGGCUGACAUAAUGUCUGAUGUACAUGCAAAGAAACAUGCAGGGAUGCAUGUCACAAUAUAGAACAAAAGAAGAGAACUGUAAGUCUUGACUCAGAAGCCAAAACAACACAACAGCAAUGCCAUAUAAUAGUCAUAUAUUACCCAAGUCGCAUGGAUUUGUCAAUGCAUUCUCUACAGAACCGGUGCAGGCAUUCCAUAACUGUUCUAGUCUUCCGGAUGAUGCCUAGCAGCAUAAGAUGGUUCCACAAUCAGUAAAUUAAAGUUGACAUUCAGUUAUGCAACAUGUUUACAGAGUUUGUGUAUGACACCAAGAGUGAAAUUGACAAGGAGUUAUAUCUGCAAGCAACAUCUUUCUGUUAAAAAUUUGGCUAAAAAAAGCUACAAAAUUAAAAAUGGAAAACCAAAAGCUUCAUUGAAACCAUUAUUUACUGCCAGAAUGAAGUUAGUUUUAGUUAAGCAUGACUAAAAUAUGUACCAGCCAUUGGCUCUAGCUCCUAAUAAAUGGCAUGUCCAAGAAAAUUCUUAUCUUUGUGGCAAGGGUUCUCUCCAACUGAAGUAUAGGUGGGUUUCAAAAUACUGAAAUGUCACAUUGUGUGUUUGCAAUGUGUAUAUGAAUAAUCUAGCCAUAUAGAAAUGGCAUUUGUGUAGGUACCUAAGCAUAUGGGACACUGCACUUCUUUGCGUACAUCCGGCAAUUUUACUGGUACAAACCUGCAAGUGUCAGUGCAAGUGUCAAAACUCUUUAAAAUGGGUGGGAAAAGCAAGAGAAAAUGAACAUCAUGUAACUAAAUUAUAAGAAUUAUAAAAACUUGAGGUGAAGCACUAGAUUACUCUAGUAUAGUAGUAUAGAUCAUAUAUGCUACAGAAGGUGGUGCUAAAGGUGUAAUUUGAGAAAUAGUCAGAGCUUACAAAGGAGCUGUAUGUUCAGGACUAAAAAAAUCGACCUACAAGGGGUAAGACAGCCCACAGGCAUUGCAUUAAGGAGACCUUCUCACCUAUAUCAAGAAAACCCGCCCACCCAUACAUAAUGGCAUUGUAGCCCAUGUGAGAACAACCAUGACCAGGCCAGAACUUAGACCUGUCCUUUGGCGUGGGACAGACGAGGGGACUUUUUUAACCCCAGCCUUAAUUUGCUCCCACAGGGAAUCGACCCCGGGACCUGAUGAGUGCUACUCAAGCCACCUAACCAACUCAGCUAGAGGCCCUUCCGCUGUAUGUUCAGGACUAACACACUGCAUGUGCUUUCAUUUCAGUUCAUGCAUGUAAAAAUGACUGAGGCAAACAAAUAGUUUAUCAACUUGCUAGAAAUUAUGGGAAGCUAAUAUCCUAGGCAAACACAUUGUAAAAUCUGCUGUCUAAAGUCCAGAGGCAAACAACAUUGCUCAAGCUCAGCCCCGAUUACAUGUCAAAAUCUAAAAGUUAACCUUGUUUUUAUUUUUCUUGGAAUGUUCCAUCUAAAUCCUAGGUAGGCAGCUUGCACUAUGAUGUUGCUGACAAGAAAAUUCAGGCCUAGGCCAUGUAACUUGGGACUAUCCUGGAUACAUAAUAACCAUCCAAAGCUAAGUUAAAGAUGACUGUUACAAACUAAUAAGCAAACUUGGCUUUCAUUCGCUUUUGUCCUCUGCAUUUGGUUGUGUGACAUCAAAAUAAGGCAAGAGCCAGACUCAUAUACCAUAACAGACAUGCAUGGAGCAAUACCCAUCACUAACAGAGAAACGAGAGUACAAAAUAAAAGGCUAAUGUUCACUUACCUCAUCACUGUCUUUUGUCAGAAUAAUUAACAUCUAAGUUGUAAAAGUUUAUUGAAAUAUCUUUUCACUAGGCAGAAAUAGCCAUGUGAUCUUAUACUCUUAUUACAAUCAAUCUGUGUACCAAAUCUAUAGGCAUAGCAGCAACUGUACAUCAGUAUGCAUAUCAGCAAUUAGACUAAAGCUGUAUGCAUUUAAAAACACUCUAGUUCAAAGCUUUAAUUAACUAGGGGUGGUGGGGUCUACCAGUAUGCCAAAAGCUUCACCUACCAAUUCUGAAUAGGCUUCCAAGCUCAUAAUGUAUGUUUCAAUUAAUAGCUGGAUGGAGCUUAGAUAUUGCAACUGGCAUCCUUAAUUAUUAAGCAUAAUUGUUAAGCAGUAAAUAAAGGAUGAUGCAGUCACAUUGAAAGCUACACUCCAUGUUCAGUUUCACUGUAGUGACGAAAAGGGCAUUAUGAUGUGUGAGCUGAAACUUGUUGCUGGAGAGAGGCAGGAUCAACAGGUUUUCUUAAAUAAGGAACAUGAUCAAUAUCUAACCACCAAUUAAGCACUUCAUUCUACUUGUAACUGCACGGAAAGAUCUGCAGUAUCAUCCCUAACCCACACUAGACUGUAGGAUUGAAAACUUGAGCACUCUUCACGACUGCCUCAAACUUCAUACCCCCUUUGGUAACCUGGCUCUAUUAAUAAUAAGAGGUAGGACUUAUGAAUCAGAUGAUGACUACAGCAAGCGCUUGCAUCUGCACAACUUGUGUUGCUUGGGUGUCAACGGAAUUCACAGAGAUACUGCUUCUCACAGGUAAAAAAAAUAGUGCAAACCAUGCUCUACAUCUAUGGCUCGUCGCCUCUCUUCCCGCAUACAGCCCCCAGAAAUCCGCAGCCAGCCAUGGUCAACUAGGAAAAGACCGACGGGCUCGGCUCAGGCACGAGAGCUGAUCAACGGGCCAACGACAGAGAGCGAACACGCGCGCGAGUGGGCGCUUAGCGGUGGCAAAUCUGGAGCACGCAUCAGGAAGGAAACCACGACGACGGGGAAAGGAGAGCGGCAACCGGCAAAGCAAGCAAACAACGGGGACGGUUGGCGAGCGUCCGAGCACGUACUCCUGCUUUGCGGCGUCCGCGUCCUCCGACUCAGACUCCUCCGAUUCCGCCGCCGCCGCCGCCGCCUUCGCGCCGGAAUCUGCGAGCAAAGGCAAACAACGUGGGCGGGAGAGGAAAUAAACCAGCAUCAGCGCGUGGAGAUCGAGGAGAAGAGCGCCGUCGACCCACGUGGGAGGGGCGGCGGCAGGGCGAACGAACGAACGAGCGGCUCACCGUUAGCGUUGCCGUUGGCUUCGGCGCCGCCGCCGGCGCUGCCGUUCUCCUCCAGCUUGGGCUUCUUCUCCGCGGGCUCGGCCGUCGGCGGCGGCGGAGACGCGGGAGGGGGCGAGCCGGCGGCGGAGGGGGGCGGCGAGGGUGGCGGGGGCGGGCGCUUCUGGGCGGGCAUUUGGGCUGCGGCGGCGGAGCAGGCUGCGUCGAGCGGGUCGCGUGGAGAGGCGGCGAGGUGGGGCGGGCGGGGGCGCGGCGCGGGGCGGGGCGGGCGUUGCUAGGCUGGGGCGGGGCGGGGCUGGCACGGGGAUCUCUCCGUCUGCGGGGCUGGCUUUUCUACGGCUCCUGGCUUCGGAGCGGGUGCAGAUGUGGGUGCAGCCGGUUUGGGUUGGUGCCGAGUUCGUGUCGCGCUCGCGCCCGGUCGGUGGUGCUCGUAUGGCUUGCUCCGUCUAAAAAACAUUUUUUUACUUUGCUCGUUUUAUUUAAAACUUUUAUAUAAAUUAUAAAAUAAAAAAUCAUUACUAAUAUAUCUUUAAUGAUUAAAUAAGUUAUAUUAAAAUAGAUAAUAUUUAUAUAAAAAGUUUAUAAUCUAUACCUAUCUAUAAAGAGCCAAAAUUUCAGUUUGUCAAAUACUUUCUUCUGCCCCCGUGUUCGGUUUAGGAUCGCCUUCUCCCUCCAAAGUUUCUAGAAGGGCAAAAACAAAAUAAAAAACAUUCUAGAGUUCCUAAUGCAAAAUCUCAUAUUACUCCGUUACGAUGGAAGAGAAAAAAAAUAAAAAAUUUUCUAGAGUUCCCAAUAUAAAAUCUCCAAUUUACUUUUCUUUUAUUUUUUAAAUCGGUUGAAAAAUAAUAAAUAUAUAGUAAUUCAUAGAAAAAUCUAAAAAAUAUAAAACAAAUUUUGUUCAGCUCCACAUAUGUAGAUCCAUGCAGUAAACAAAAAAUAUCAUAAAUUUUAGUACACUUUUUUUUGGAAAUGCUUGUCUAUGCUUUUUACUGUAAAAUUAAAAUUGUAGUUAUCUUGCUCCAAUUAUUAUAAAAAUUUAAUGAUAGCCUAUUUAAUGUGAUGCUUGAUUCAUAUUUCAUAGCAAUCCUAAUCUAAAUUAAAAAAAUAAUGUUAGCAUCAAACUUCUCAUGUUUUAAUAUAAUACUGAGGCAUAUUAAGAGGUAAUAUUAGAGUGAGAUAAGAUUUAACUAUUUUCUAUUUUUAUUAUUAAAUAAAUAUGUCUUUAAGCUAUAUAUUAUUGUAAAUAUUAAUUAUCUAAUACCAUAGAUGUUAUGGCGACUUUAAAUUUUAUAAAAAGGAUAAAUAUAAAUAGAUAUGUAACAUUAUGUCAUCACUUUUUAGAGUUAGUCAAAUAAGAGGUUUGAAAGUAAACCGUAACUGUCUUUUUGAGACGGGAGUACGCGCUUCGGCCUUCGGGGUUGCGGGUGCCCGCUGCCCGAGCCCGAACAAGGCGGCGCUCUUGUUUGCCGUGCCGCGCAGGGCUGCCGGCCGAGCUCGGCGGCCGGGAUGUCAACGAGCUCCAGACCGUCGAUUUGGUCAGCGAGACUGUUCGCUCUUCCAGGUCCGAGUCCCGACGGCCACAAGUAAAUGCGUGAUCUUUGGAAGUUAUAUCAAAGAAAGUACGCACGGCUAGUUGUUUUUUUAAAACCAAACUUGGUAUAAAGAAUUUUUCCAUGAUUAUUAGGCCAUUUACAAUGGUGUUAGCUAUGUACUUUCUCCAUCUAUUUAUCGGAAUCAUUUUAUCGAAAAAAAAUUCUCUAAGAAUUGGAGUCAUCUAGAAACCACUAUUUUCACCUUUUCUCGAGCAUAUACGGUUUCUCUCACUAGUCUAAUUAAUUCAAUUGUUUGCAUGCAGCACCUUUCACUGGCCGAAUUAAUUUCUCCUCAGCCACUUCGCAUGACUCUAAAUGACUCCGACAAAUGGAUGAAGGGAGUACAAGUUUAUAUAGAGGUGAGAGAUAAAAGCAAAAAGUUAUUUUAUAUAAUCUUAUUUUUAUAUGUACAAUUGGACUCGUAUAUCAUUCUCUUAGAUUCUUAGACUACAUGGAAUAGAUAGGUUAUUUACUCGUCGCUAAUGAUUAUUCUCUUUUCUACAUUUUUAUGUUCAUGUCAGAAUAACUAGCUAAAUAGUCAACUGUUGAAAAUUUUUAGAUUCAUUUAUGAGAAGAGAAACCUUGUUAGAUCCAUGUUAAAAUUAAAAUUAAUAAUCUCCGUGGGCGGCUACAUCGUGAUGAUCAAACGAGAAUCAUCAUCGUACUCCAAAGUCUAAACUGAAGAGAACACCUUCACCAUUGUUCGAGGAGAUUUACAUUUUUAUCAUUAUUAAUAAUAUAGUUCAUUCUAAUAUCAUUCUUAGAAUUGUCCUUACAUAUAUACUAUUGGAGAAAGAAGAAGGGCAUGUUUGGUUGUUAACCAUAGUCUACUACAAGAUCUACAACUAACUUUAGGCAAGUAUGACAAGCCACAAAAGUAUGGCUAGUAAAUUGGUUAUCAUAUUUUACCAUGCCUAAAGUAAUAUAUUCACACUUUUUAACUUUAUGAUAUGUAGAGCCAAAAAGAAUCAUAUCUAAACUUAGUUGUCAACCAAACACCUCUCAUCUUGGUAAAACUUGUCUAAGGUAAAGUGUGGUAAACUGUACUCCGUAGUUAGCAACCAAACAACCUCCAAAAUCUUACAAGUUUACCAAAAACAGACCUUUUUGUUUAUGCGGCGUGCCAAAUCAGGGUGCGAGCAUAGAUACGCACGGUGAAAAGGUUGCCCGUGCCCUACUCCCCUCUCCCCUACAGUUGGGCACCACAUGUGGUGUCACUACCACGUGGGACCCACUCGUCAAAAUCGUCUUCCACCUUCAGCAUCUAGAUGUGAAAUGGGGUGGCAUCGAGAUGUGGAGCUCAUGGGCAUAGCUAGGCACGGCCUCGGUGGGCGCAGGCGUGGCCAUGGACACGCGUGGCCCCAACGAGCACACGAACCUAACCAUGGCGGGGUGCGUUGUCCAGCUGGUGCAGGGACGUAGAGCAAUGUUGCAGCGCUCCAGCAGCAUGGGCGCCUCAACGAUGCACGGGAGGUUCGCUAUGGUCGCAUCGAACACCGCGAGUACCGAGCGAUGGUGGAUGUGGACAAGCUCGACGCUGAAGAUGGCCACGUGCAUGAGCUAGAGCACGAACUUGCCGCCCACCUUGAGCCCCGCUGUGACCGGCUAUGACACAAUAUGGAAAGCGAUGACCGCAACAGCCCUCCAUCUUAUGUAUGGGUAGUUAGGUACCACACCUGAUUGACCACUGCCCCUAGUAGAGUUUGAGGAGCGAUGAGAACGGGAGGUACUUCGCGAGCUUCACAUCUUGCGCGCCAAUCCAUGGGUGUAGUGGUGUCUUCAUGCUUGAUAGAAGCGCCCUCAUCUAGGUGCUAAAGGUGGAAGACGAAUCUGACGAGUGGGUUCUACAUAGCAGCGACACUAAAUGUGGAACACAACUGUAGGAGAGAGAGAAGAGAAGAGUAGAGAAGGGGCAUCUUUGUCUUUUUACCGUGUGUCUCCAUGCUAGCAUCCUGAUCUGGCACGCUACACAAGUAAAAAGAUUUAUUUUUGGUAAACUGGUAAGAUUUCUUCUCUCUCCAAUGGUAUAUAUGUAAGGACAAUUCUAAGAGCGAUAUUCACAUGAAUAUUGUCUUGUUUAUUUGGCUGAUAAGUCGUGAUAGAAAAUAUUAUUGAUUAAUUUAUUGUGUGAGAAAAAUAUUAUUGAAUGACAAGCUGAUUAUUCGUCUGAUAAUCUCCUCUUUUUUUAUUAGGUUUUGACCGUUUGUUCUUUGUUGGAUCAACCAGAAAACUCUCCUCCCAAACCAAAAUUGCCGCCUUCGCUUCGGUGUCCUUCCACGGCAGGGACUCGCCGGACGGCCGGAGCACCACCCGCCUCCGUCCAUGUCCCUCAACCGCCUCAAGGAAACCCUCAACGCCUGCUCCUCUUCUUUCUCCCAACCACAGACCCAACCGCGCUCACCGCCGCACCACCCCGCUCUCCUUCCGCGGAGACCCCCAAAGACGUCCCUUUCGCAGCAGCUCCUCCGCCUCGAGGCCGCCGCCUCUUCCUCCUCCUCCUCCUCCUUUUCCUCCAGGCCCGUACAGCUCCCACCCGUCCCCAGGUCCCCGAUCCAGAAGCCGCGGGAGGUCGAUGAACCGCCGUCGUCAGAGGACGAGGACGAGAGAAAAAGUCGCCCCAUUAUCCGCCGCUGCCAGCCUCCGCCACCACCGGCCGCCCUCGAGUCCCGCGGGCCAUUCGAGCCACUUGUGCUCUCGCUGCCUGGAGAACACCCUGUCGUCCAGGUACCGUACUGCCCCUGCGUCUCCUCGGUGGCAGUAGAUUCGUUAGGGCUUGUCUCGCAAGAAUCACUUGCCCACGACUAGUUCAGUUUCAGUAUUACUAGUACAAAGGGAUUUAUGGCAACAGGAGUUUGAUCAUUACAAAGUAUUUAUGAAUAUAAACCUGAUAUAAUCACGUUUUUAGUGUAAACUUUUCAUAUGAAUAUUAUAAUCAUAUGAAUAUUAUAAUUAGACUAAUUAUUGGUCAAAGGCGACAAAGUUUGAAUUUUGAAAUACAUGCACACCUUGUAUUUUGGGAUGGAGUAAGUAGUGAUAAAUCCUACUUCUUGGGAGAUGAGGGAGAGCGAAAAAAUAUCGCAUAACAGUUUGCCAUAGCAUAUCUUGCUGUUCUUGAUGGCCUGCGGUUUGUCUCAGUUAAAUAGAAAUUGGUAAAUGAAGAUACAUUGCGAUAGAGAUAGGUCCAGGGGAAUUCAAGAACACAAUAGUUGAUGCCCUGCAGUUUAUCUCAGUUAAAUACAAGAAGCCAGUAGUUGAUGAUGAGCUAUUGACAUGCAUUUUACAUCAUAAGUUGACUUUUACAUGUUCCAUGGUUGAUGGGACGUGUAUUAUGUGGUUGAUGGACUGCUUUCCUUUCAUCAUCUGACCUUCAGGAUUUAUGUUGGACCAGAUCUCGAGGUCUCUUUGACAAUACUAUUUUUUACAAC